UGAAAUUAAGAAGAUUGUUCACUACAACCCCGCUUCCUUUUGAACUCACAAUAAUGUUUUUCUUCGCAAUUGCGUUUUACUGGCAGUUGUAAUCGAAGUCUAACAUUUCAGUAAAGCAUCGAGAAUGCAUUCCAGCUAUUUCUAUUCAACUCGCUAAAGCCAUGGAAAUGGCUAAUGAAAAAGCGACAACAGUUCAAGGCAGUCCAAGUAAUUUUGUUACUACAAAUCAAGCGUUCGGUCGGGACCUACACAAUACUGCUGGCUAGGAUGAAAAGUAUAGGCCGCAUGAAAGGUAGAACAGUCAACACAACACUGGUGUGCUGGGAUUAGUGCUAAAUCAGAUUAGUCUAAACUGUAUUGAUGAAGAAUGGAGCGGGACUUUGAAGAUGCAGCUGCAAGCCGAUACUGGACACAAAGGGAGAAACAUUGUUGUUGGACAAUCUGGACAAACCAGCAAAGAGGGACAUCAAACAGUGGACACGGAGCCGCAAGCCACAGCUGGCGCUUUGCUGAGUUUGAGUACAUGAUCAAAUCAGCUGAUGAAUAAAGGAGAGCCAACCGCUCUUAUGGGAAAAGAGGUGUCGCCAAAACAACCAUCACAGCCCUACCAUGGACACCUGAUUGCUCAGAACAUUUAAAGAGAAGAGAAGCUGUGGUUUACCGGGCAACUGAGGACAUGAUGUCUGGUGUGGAUACUGGAUUUUUGGUUUCCUAAUCAAAUUAGCUGACCAGCGAAGGUCACUUGAACUGGACUGAUUUACACACACACACACAAGUCUCAAUUGCUGCUACCAGACACUCUAUAUUGUUUUUAGUAUCUUUAUUAGGGUGUAGUUUUUUUGUUGUCCAUUACAUAAAAUGUUUUGCUAUUUGUUUUUAGCCUUUCUAUUGGUGCAUUGCCUUGAGGUUAGUAUUGCUUAAAGGUUUUAUUCACAUUGACAAUUUAUUUUCUAUUGUUACUCCUCAAAAUCUGUACAUUAUUCCCAACUUUUGGCCACCAUGUGUCCUUUUGAGAUAUUUCUAUCCUUGUAUUGCUGUGUGGGAACCUGCAAACAAGCAUUUCCACUUUAAAUGUAACUAUUUGCACUUUAAUUACACUGCUGUUUUUAGUAAUGUGUCCCAAUAUUUAUUUGAUUUGAAUUAAUAUACGUAACAUAUUUUCUUGUAACCCUGUUAAAUUAUUUGUAAACUUUAAAGAAAGUUCUGAUGCUUCAU
Molecule: long non-coding RNA, 1215 nt
Organism: Esox lucius (northern pike)
Lineage: Eukaryota; Metazoa; Chordata; Actinopteri; Esociformes; Esocidae
Exons: 5
Source: RefSeq, a predicted model, not a curated record